CAUUACACANAUAUGAAGCCGGACUGGGAUAGGGCCUCGCUGCCUUGCCCGUCUGGCGCCAUAUUCACCCAUGUCUUUUUGCGUACUACUUGUUUCCUUGGCGGGUCCGCCCGCCAAUUGGACCUUAUUCAAACCUUUUUUUCAGUUGCAAUCAGCGUCAGCAAAACAAAUGUAAUCAAUUACAACUUUCAACAACGGAUCUCUUGGUUCUGGCAUCGAUGAAGAACGCAGCGAAAUGCGAUAAGUAGUGUGAAUUGCAGAAUUCAGUGAAUCAUCGAAUCUUUGAACGCACAUUGCGCCCUUUGGUAUUCCAAAGGGCAUGCCUGUUCGAGCGUCAUUUGUACCCUCAAGCUUUGCUUGGUGUUGGGCGUCUUGUCUCUCUCCCGAGACUCGCCUUAAAAUCAUUGGCAGCCGGCCUACUGGUUUCGGAGCGCAGCACAUUAUUUGCGCUCUUGUCCAGCCGCGGUCGCGCGUCCAUGAAGCUUCUUUCAACCUUUUGACCUCGGAUCAG
This 511-nucleotide ribosomal RNA is filed under the name Pyrenophora tritici-repentis. Its description in RNAcentral is "eukaryotic LSU rRNA". The stretch from base 184 to 337 matches the Rfam family "5.8S ribosomal RNA". The record is from RNAcentral. Lineage: Eukaryota; Fungi; Ascomycota; Dothideomycetes; Pleosporales; Pleosporaceae.